UUUUUCUUUUCUUUUUCUUUUUUUUUUUUUGAGAUGGAAUCUCACUCUGUCGCCCAGGCUGGAGUGCAGUGACAUGAUCUCGGCUCACUGCAAGCUCUGCCUCCCGGGUUCAAGCGAUUCUCCUGCCUCAGCCUCCCAUAAUCCCAGUUGGGAUUACAGGUGUGCACCACCACGCCCAGCUAAUUUUUAUAUUUUUAGUAGAGAAGGGGUUUCACCAUGUUAGCCAGGAUGGUCUCGAUCCCUUGACCUCGUGAUCCGCCGGCCUCGGCCUCCCAAAGUGCUGGGAUUACAGGCGUGAGCCACUGCGCCCGGCCAGAGAAAGAUUUCUUAUGCUGCUUUUAAAACAAAAGUAGCCACAAGAGUUAACAUUUCUAGUUUUCACUCUCAAAAAUAAAGUCCUUGUGGAUUUUAUGAUCCGAUUUCAGCAAAUGUCACUGCAAAGUGGAGAUGCUAUCAUCCCUUAGCAGUGUGCCUCCACCCUGGGCCGCUGGGGCCAGGUGCUGGCUGCUCUGCAAGGAAGGGUCCCUGCAAGCAGGACAGUGGCCUUCCAGGGCUGAGGCUGGAGGAAGGAGCUUUGCCUCAGACGGGCACCCUUUUUUUAAGCUCUGAUUCUGCCCCAUGCCGUGUGCCUCUGAGGGUCGCCUUCCCUUCUGAAGCUCAGGCACAUCCUCUCCUCUGUCACCAGUUCUCUGGUGCCAGUUCCCUCCUGCUUCCGUUUCCUGCCUUCCAGGCAGGGUGCCACCCUGCGUACCCUUACGAUUCUCUCUCUGCUUGUGCAACGGUCACCAUCUGCCCACGACCCUUCGGCCAGGUCCUGCGGCGCUCAGAGCUGGCCAGAGACUCGUUCCUUCCACAGGGUCUGUCCAGAGACUCCUAAAGGUCGGGCAGUGGUGUGAGUGGCUCUCGGCCGGUCAGCAGUACCUGCAGGCGGAGGGGCUGCCCCAGGGCUCUCGGCGAGACUGAGAAGGUUCAUGAGCUCCGUGUUCCUGUCUGAGACGACCACAACCAGGGCAGGCCUCAUGUGUGACCCAACUUUCAUAAAACCACACACGCAUAGUCACAAGCAGCUCCCUGCUUUAUGCACUCUAAAGUGAUUCAGCGUUCCACAUGAAAACGCAGCCACGAAGGCACCACGUGAUUGAUAAUGCUCUCCGUGGGACUUAUGGGUCCAUAAACCAAAGAAUGGCUAUCAUCACCCACACGUCCAUCAUUUCUUUAUCCCUUACAUCAAACAUGAUAUGGUCAUAGUCACAAUUCAAUAACAAACCAUGGAGGGCUCCGUGAAAGUUACCAGUGAGAGCUGCAUGUGCUCUCCCAGCUACUCUUCUCUGCUAGAGCCUGCGCCCCACCG
RNAcentral lists this long non-coding RNA (1351 nucleotides) under Macaca fascicularis (crab-eating macaque). Its description in RNAcentral is "lncRNA (ENSMFAG00000049375.1)". The record is from RNAcentral. Lineage: Eukaryota; Metazoa; Chordata; Mammalia; Primates; Cercopithecidae.